Molecule: ribosomal RNA, 731 nt
Filed under: uncultured Providencia sp.
Lineage: Bacteria; Pseudomonadati; Pseudomonadota; Gammaproteobacteria; Enterobacterales; Morganellaceae
Description: bacterial SSU rRNA
Rfam family: Bacterial small subunit ribosomal RNA
Source: RNAcentral
AGCAAACAGGAUUAGAUACCUGGUAGUCACGCUGUAAACGAUGUCGAUUUGGAGGUUGUUCCCUUGAGGAGUGGCUUCCGGAGCUAACGCGUUAAAUCGACCGCUGGGGAGUACGGCCGCAAGGUUAAAACUCAAAUGAAUUGACGGGGGCCCGCACAAGCGGUGGAGCAUGUGGUUUAAUUCGAUGCAACGCGAAGAACCUUACCUACUCUUGACAUCCAGAGAAUUUAGCAGAGAUGCUUUAGUGCCUUCGGGAACUCUGAGACAGGUGCUGCAUGGCUGUCGUCAGCUCGUGUUGUGAAAUGUUGGGUUAAGUCCCGCAACGAGCGCAGCCCUUAUCCUUUGUUGCCAGCACAUUAUGGUGGGAACUCAAAGGAGACUGCCGGUGAUAAACCGGAGGAAGGUGGGGAUGACGUCAAGUCAUCAUGGCCCUUACGGGUAGGGCUACACACGUGCUACAAUGGCGUAUACAAAGAGAAGCGACCUCGCGAGAGCAAGCGGAACUCAUAAAGUACGUCGUAGUCCGGAUUGGAGUCUGCAACUCGACUCCAUGAAGUCGGAAUCGCUAGUAAUCGUAGAUCAGAAUGCUACGGUGAAUACGUUCCCGGGCCUUGUACACACCGCCCGUCACACCAUGGGAGUGGGUUGCAAAAGAAGUAGGUAGCUUAACCUUCGGGAGGGCGCUUACCACUUUGUGAUUCAUGACUGGGGUGAAGUCGUAACAAGGUAAC